RNAcentral lists this ribosomal RNA (440 nucleotides) under uncultured bacterium. RNAcentral's name for it is "bacterial SSU rRNA". It matches the Rfam family "Bacterial small subunit ribosomal RNA", at positions 338 to 770 of the family's 1533-position model. The record is from RNAcentral.
CCUACGGGUGGCUGCAGUGGGGAAUAUUGCACAAUGGGCGAAAGCCUGAUGCAGCCAUGACGCGUGUGUGAAGAAGGCCUUCGGGUUGUAAAGCACUUUCAGCGAGGAGGAAAGGGUGUUGUUUAAUACACAACAUCUGUGACGUUACUCGCAGAAGAAGCACCGGCUAACUUCGUGCCAGCAGCCGCGGUAAUACGGAGGGUGCAAGCGUUAAUCGGAAUUACUGGGCGUAAAGCGCGCGUAGGCGGUUUGUUAAGUCAGCUGUGAAAGCCCUGGGCUCAACCUGGGAAUUGCAGUUGAUACUGAUCGACUAGAGUACGAGAGAGGGAGGUAGAAUUCCACGUGUAGCGGUGAAAUGCGUAGAGAUCUGAAGGAAUACCGGUGGCGAAGGCGGCCCCCUGGACAAAGACUGACGCUCAGAUGCGAAAGCGUGGGGAGCA